UACGUAGGGGGCUAGCGUUGUCCGGAAUCAUUGGGCGUAAAGAGCGUGUAGGCGGUCCGGUAAGUCCGCUGUGAAAGUCGGGGGCUCAACCCUCGAAUGCCGGUGGAUACUGUCGGGCUAGAGUGCGGAAGAGGCGAGUGGAAUUCCUGGUGUAGCGGUGGAAUGCGCAGAUAUCAGGAGGAACACCUAUAGCGAAGGCAGCUCGCUGGGACGUUACUGACGCUGAGGCGCAAAAGCGUGGGGAGCGAACAGG
This 253-nucleotide ribosomal RNA is filed under the name uncultured bacterium. RNAcentral describes it as "partial 16S ribosomal RNA". It matches the Rfam family "Bacterial small subunit ribosomal RNA", at positions 524 to 776 of the family's 1533-position model. The record is from RNAcentral.